This is a non-coding RNA of Parelaphostrongylus tenuis, 71 nucleotides long. Lineage: Eukaryota; Metazoa; Nematoda; Chromadorea; Rhabditida; Metastrongylidae. The record is from the annotation of a GenBank genome assembly.
ACCUCCGUUGUGCAGUGGUAGCUCGCGUCCCCGGUAUGGAUGAGGCGCGUGUUCAACUCCCGGCUGAGGUA